CCUACGGGUGGCAGCAGUAGGGAAUCUUUCACAAUGGGCGAAAGCCUGAUGGAGCAACGCCGCGUGCAGGAUGAAGGCCUUCGGGUUGUAAACUGCUUUUAUAAGCGAGAAAUAUGAUGGUAACUUAUGAAUAAGGAUCGGAUAACUACGUGCCAGCAGCAGCGGUCAUACGUAGGAUCCGAGCAUUAUCCGGAGUGACUGGGUGUAAAGAGUUGCGUAGGUGGCAUAAUAAGUAGCUAGUGAAAUCUGGUGGCUCAACCAUUCAGACUAUUAGCUAAACUGUUAAGCUCGAGACCGUUAGGGGUAACUGGAAUGUCUAGUGUAGGAGUGAAAUCCGUAGAUAUUAGAAGGAACACCAAUAGCGUAGGCAGGUUGCUGGGACGGUUCUGACACUAAGGCACGAAAGCGUAGGGAGCAAACGGGAUUAGAUACCCGUGUAGUC
This 442-nucleotide ribosomal RNA is filed under the name uncultured bacterium. Its description in RNAcentral is "partial 16S ribosomal RNA". It matches the Rfam family "Bacterial small subunit ribosomal RNA", at positions 338 to 795 of the family's 1533-position model. The record is from RNAcentral.